AUACCGGAUACCCCCAUCGAGUCGCAUGGCUUGGUGAGGAAAUGGAUUCCGCUUCGGGAGGGGCUCGCGGCCUAUCAGCUUGUUGGUGAGGUAACGGCUCACCAAGGCGUCGACGGGUAGCUGGUCUGAGAGGACGAUCAGCCACACUGGGACUGAGACACGGCCCAGACUCCUACGGGAGGCAGCAGUGGGGAAUCUUGCACAAUGGGCGAAAGCCUGAUGCAGCAACGCCGCGUGAGGGACGAAGGCUUUCUGAGUUGUAAACCUCUUUCAGCAGGGACGAUUGUGACGGUACCUGCAGAAGAAGCCCCGGCCAACUACGUGCCAGCAGCCGCGGUAAUACGUAGGGGGCAAGCGUUGUCCGGAUUUAUUGGGCGUAAAGAGCUCGUAAGCGGCUUGGCAAGUCGGAUGUGAAACCUCCA
This 422-nucleotide ribosomal RNA is filed under the name uncultured bacterium. Its description in RNAcentral is "bacterial SSU rRNA". It matches the Rfam family "Bacterial small subunit ribosomal RNA", at positions 166 to 605 of the family's 1533-position model. The record is from RNAcentral.